This 273-nucleotide ribosomal RNA is filed under the name uncultured bacterium. Its description in RNAcentral is "partial 16S ribosomal RNA". It matches the Rfam family "Bacterial small subunit ribosomal RNA", at positions 335 to 626 of the family's 1533-position model. The record is from RNAcentral.
CACCUACGGGAGGCAGCAGUGGGGAAUAUUGCACAAUGGGGGAAACCCUGAUGCAGCGACGCCGCGUGGAGGAAGAAGGUCUUCGGAUUGUAAACUCCUGUCCUUUUGGACGAUAAUGACGGUACCCCAGGAGGAAGCACCGGCUACCUACGUGCCAGCAGCCGCGGUAAAACGUAGGGUGCAAGCGUUGUCCGGAAUUACUGGGUGUAGAGGGAGCGCAGGCGGAUUGACAAGUUCGGAGUGCACACUACGGGCUCAACCCGUAACCUGCUU